GAUGAACGCUGGCGGUAUGCUUAACACAUGCAAGUCGAACGGUCACUUCGGUGCUAGUGGCGGACGGGUGAGUAACGCGUGAGAAUCUGUCUUCAGGUCGGGGACAACAGUUAGAAAUGACUGCUAAUACCGGAUGUGCCUUUGGGUGAAAGAUUUAUUGCCUGAAUAAGAGCUCGCGUCGGAUUAGCGAGUAGGUGGUGUCAGAGACUACCUAGGCUCCGAUCUGUAGCUGGUCUGUGAGGACGAACAGCCACACUGGGACUGAGACACGGUCCAGACUCGUACGGGAGGCAGCAGUGGGGAAUUUACCGCAAUGGGCGAGAGCCUGACGGAGCAAGAGCGGGUGAGGGACGAAGGCGUUGGGGUCGUAAACCGCUAUUCACGAGGCAGAUGAUGACGGUACUUGAGGAAUAAGCACCGGCUAACUCUGUG
RNAcentral lists this ribosomal RNA (432 nucleotides) under uncultured bacterium. RNAcentral's name for it is "partial 16S ribosomal RNA". It matches the Rfam family "Bacterial small subunit ribosomal RNA", at positions 28 to 507 of the family's 1533-position model. The record is from RNAcentral.